GGGGAUUUAGCUCAGUGGUAGAGCGCUUGCCUAGGAAGCGCAAGGCCCUGGGUUCGGUCCCCAGCCCG
This 68-nucleotide transfer RNA is filed under the name Rattus norvegicus (Norway rat). It matches the Rfam family "tRNA". From Rfam's summary of the family: Transfer RNA (tRNA) molecules are approximately 80 nucleotides in length. Their secondary structure includes four short double-helical elements and three loops (D, anti-codon, and T loops). The record is from Rfam by way of RNAcentral. Lineage: Eukaryota; Metazoa; Chordata; Mammalia; Rodentia; Muridae.